This 1810-nucleotide ribosomal RNA is filed under the name metagenome. Its description in RNAcentral is "bacterial LSU rRNA". It matches the Rfam family "Bacterial large subunit ribosomal RNA", at positions 1100 to 2925 of the family's 2925-position model. The record is from RNAcentral.
GUUGGCUUAGAAGCAGCCACUCAUUUAAAGAGUGCGUAAUAGCUCACUAGUCGAGAGAUCCUGCGCCGAAAAUGUCCGGGGCUCAAACUUACCACCGAAGCUACGGGCUUGCGUAAGCAAGCGGUAGGGGAGCGUCGUAAUCGGGCUGAAGUCGUACCGUAAGGAGCGGUGGACUGAUUACGAGUGAGAAUGUUGGCAUUAGUAGCGAGAUGUAGGUGAGAAUCCUACAGGCCGAAUAUCUAAGGUUUCCUCAGGAAGGCUCGUCCGCUGAGGGUUAGUCGGGACCUAAGCCGAGGCCGAAAGGCGUAGGCGAUGGACAAUCGGUUGAUAUUCCGAUACCACUACCAUCGUUAUUAUCGAGGGUGUGACGGAGAAGGAUAGUGUGUGCUAGCGAUUGGAAAUGCUAGUCUAAGCGUUUAGGGAGUUACGGUAGGCAAAUCCGCUGUAACAAUUCUGAGGCGUGAUGGGGAAGGCCAUAUAGGCCGAAGUACAUGAUUCCAUGCUUCCAAGAAAAGCAUCUAGAGAGAGAAGUAGUGCCCGUACCGCAAACCGACACAGGUAGAUGAGGAGAGAAUCCUAAGGCCGGCGGAAGAAUUGCAGUUAAGGAACUAGGCAAAUUGACCCCGUAAGUUCGCGAGAAGGGGUGCCUGCGAGAGCAGGCCGCAGAGAAUAGGCCCAAGCAACUGUUUAGCAAAAACACAGGUCUCUGCUAAAGCGCAAGCUGAUGUAUAGGGGCUGACGCCUGCCCGGUGCUGGAAGGUUAAGGGGAACACUUAGCGCAAGCGAAGGUGUGAACUUAAGCCCCAGUAAACGGCGGCCGUAACUAUAACGGUCCUAAGGUAGCGAAAUUCCUUGUCAGGUAAGUUCUGACCCGCACGAAUGGCGUAAUGACUUGGGCACUGUCUCAACUGCAAAUCCGGCGAAGUUGUAGUGCGAGUGAAGAUGCUCGCUACCCGCGAUUGGACGGAAAGACCCCGUAGAGCUUUACUGCAGCUUAGCAUUGAAUUCCGGUAUUGUCUGUACAGGAUAGGUGGGAGACUGGGAAACUAGGGCGUCAGCCUUAGUGGAGUCAACCUUGGGAUACCACCCUGACAGUACUGGGGUUCUAACAGGACGCCAUGAAUCUGGUGACUGGACAUUGUUAGGUGGGCAGUUUGACUGGGGCGGUCGCCUCCUAAAAAGUAACGGAGGCGCCCAAAGGUUCCCUCAGAACGGUCGGAAAUCGUUCGUAGAGUGCAAAGGCAGAAGGGAGCCUGACUGCGAGACCUACAAGUCGAGCAGGGACGAAAGUCGGGCUUAGUGAUCCGGUGGUACCUCGUGGGAGGGCCAUCGCUCAACGGAUAAAAGCUACCUCGGGGAUAACAGGCUGAUCUCCCCCAAGAGUCCACAUCGACGGGGAGGUUUGGCACCUCGAUGUCGGCUCAUCGCAUCCUGGGGCUGUAUUCGGUCCCAAGGGUUUGGCUGUUCGCCAAUUAAAGCGGUACGCGAGCUGGGUUCAGAACGUCGUGAGACAGUUCGGUCCCUAUCCGGCGUGGGCGUAGGAUAUUUGAGAGGAGCUGUCCUUAGUACGAGAGGACCGGGAUGGACUGACCUCUGGUGCACCAGUUGUUCCGCCAGGAGCACGGCUGGGUAGCUAAGUCGGGAAGGGAUAAACGCUGAAAGCAUCUAAGCGUGAAGCCUCCCUCAAGAUGAGAUUUCCCAUAGCAUAAGCUAGUAAGACCCCUUGAAGAACACAAGGUUGAUAGGUCAGAGGUGUAAGUGCGGUAACGUAUGUAGCUGACUGAUACUAAUAGGUCGAGGGCUUGACCAA